CGUCUCACCUGUGGUCACGAGUUGUUAGUUCGUUCGUGAUGUAGGAAUUCAAGCUUUCGGGCGGAAGCUAUGGUCGACGCCAGAGGCCACGAGUCGUUUAAUUUAAGUUAGGUCAUAAUGUAGUCGUCAAGCUUUCGGGCGGAGGCUAUGGCCCUCGUCAGGGGUCACGCGUCAUAGUUUUUAAAAUGUAAUGUUCGUUCGGGAUUUCAAGGGCAGGAGAGGCCCCUACGUUAUUUUUUUAAAGUAAUCGAUCAAGAAAGGCUUUUCGGAAAAUGUGAGUAUGGACUUAUCUUUGUUUUAAUUUUAAGUAUUAAUUAUGAUUUGAGGUAUUCGGAAGGACUAGGGAAGUGUUUAGUGAAGUUCUCUCAUUCUCUCUCUUGUAAGGUCGUUCAAUCGUUAAGGAAGUAAAGAGAUUAUUGUUUUAAAUUGUAAUCCCGCUAUUUAAAUGUUCUUUAAAAUGAUGUUGAGUAUUUGACUUUAAGAAUAAAAUAAUUUUAAUUAAGUAUUAUGUUAUUUUGCAAAAUCUCCUUAGUUCAGCUCUCACCAGACAUCCUGUACGGGAUGACGAACCUAUGAUCCUAGGUACAGUAAAGUAUUUUAUGAAGUUAAGACUAGUUGAUGCCAAGCGAGUUGUUUCUAUGUAAAGAGCUACGAUUCUCUCCCCCCUCUGAAGGUGGAUCGUGACAGAAAUGGCGGUGGCACCGGCUAGGUGCACGUGACAGAAAUGGUAGAGUUCGCCGGAUAGGUUCUAUUUCUGGAGAGAGAGAGAGGUAGAUUUUUAUGUUUAUUAUUAAGUUAGUUUCAGCUUCUGAUAGCAGGUUAUUAAGAGUUUACUUGAGGAGAGGAUUACGGAAUUUAAUCUAAGUGGAGGAAGUCUUUGAGAUUUUUUUUUGACGUAACAUAUGUUUAUUUGAGUAUACUUGUAAGGAUAAAGUUUAUAGUGAUAAGUUGUUUUAAGUCGUUGAGUUUAUCAGGGAUUUUUACGUGAGGAGAAUACGUUAUAAUUUAAAUGAUUAAUAGAGAUAAUGCAAGUGGUUUAAUUUAAUUGAAAUUAAUUUUAAGAUUGUAGGUUAAGAGAGUUAAAAUUUAAAAUAAAGUUUUUUUCGUAAAUAGGAAUUAUUUUCAAGUGAAGUUUGUUUUGCUGUCGUGCGCGUAGGAGACGAGACGUACGAAUUAAAUCAGUCGAGGGAAGGAUAAACGUUAGAAAGGAAUUAAAGAGAAAACGAGAGUUUAUGUAAAAGAGAGUUAUAGAAUUUAUAGUGAUGUUUUGUUUUAAUUAGAAAAAUGUUGAGAGUUGUUUCAGAACGACACGUCAGUGGACGUGGCAGAAUGAACACGAGACGGGGAGGUGCUGAGACCUAGCGGAGAACGGAGGAACCGCAAGCGAGGGUUGGCGCACCUGAUGGAAUUCGGUGACGUCACGGGCUCAUAAGGAGACGUGGACAGGCCGUGACCUUGUUUUGAUCAGCUGUACGGUAACUUAGCGAUAAGAAAAUAGACUAUUGGUUAAAUAAAUUUAAAUUUAAGUGUGUUUUAGAAGAAGAGGAACUUUCAGUAUAUUCCUUAAGAUGAGCUGAGCAGCAGUCCAGUUUACAAGAUGACAAGAGUUCGAGAGACAAGAUACAAGAUCACUGAAACAAGAGCCAAGACUGAAGAUUCAAGAGAAGAGAAAGCUGGCAGCCAUGGACUUACAAGUGGAGAUUAAUAAGGUCAUGUAAAGUUUUAUUUUUUUUUAUGGAAGACAGUAACUGGAGUUUUUUUUUGUUAUAAACAUUAUUUACAGAACUUUUUAGGUUAUAGUAAUGUAAUGGAACUAGUGAGUUGUGGUAGCUGUCAAAAAGAACUAAUACCUUAAGUUUAAUUUUUAAAGUUAAUUUUCUUAAUUUACAGAGGGAUUAGUAGUUUUUUUUAAAACCUUAUUUAGGUUGGAAUUUCAAUACAAUAGCUUAUUAUAAAUGUGUACGAACAGUUCAAGUUCACAGUACUGAUAGGUAGGUCAGAUGAUCUUAUUGAUUUUGAUGAUUUGUUGUUUUGAGUUGAUUUUUAGGUGUUGUGAAUUAGACAAUGAAAUAGUUUUGAAAACUUAAAUUAUUUCAAGCUAAGAAAUAGUAAAUUUAAUUGUAACUCAAAGGACACCAGAAUUUAAUUUUUUUUUGAAUUAGUAAUGUUUGAAAAUUUUAUACUUUACAAGAAAGGUUAUAAACAAACAGAUCGGAUGGAACAAGGAUGCAGUAAAUCACAAUUUCAUUUAGAAUUAUUGAUUAGCUUUUGAGGUUAUGAAGUAAAAGUAAUUAUAGUUUAAAAGUUUGAAUAAAAAAAAAAAAUGUUUUUUUUUUUUUUUUUAUUUGUUUGAAAUAGAAAGUUUAAAAGUUAAUUAGUCAUGAUCUAGGUGGGUGAUGGGGUGGGAAUUGGCCACUCUUUUUCCCUAUAACCUCCCUAACAUGGCCUUCUAUUACAACUAACAGAAAUAAAGAAGAAGAAAAAUGAAGAAUUAUUAGUUAGAAUGUUUCUUUCAUGAAGAUACCUGAUGAACUUUUACUGUUUGGAAGAAUAGAAGCAAGGUUAGUCAGAUAUUUUUACUCGGAAGAAGAAGAAGAUAAAGCAGUUUUAUGACUCGACAAGCCAGAGAUUGGUGUUUCCCCUCUGCGCUUCUAUUGACUACGUUGUUUACUCUCAUGGGAUAGCUGGUUCGGCACCAUGGAGAGAGAUUGGUGGGCAUUGUGGUUGCCCCCAGAAGAAAAGAAGAGUAGAAGAGGUUAUGGGUGGGUCAUGUGAACUGACCUUCAACCCAGUUACUUCGUGGGGACUAUUUGCUGUAUAGAGAAGAUCAAGACUCAAGAGUUAGGGAAAAUCAUUGGAGGUCAUGUUUCCCUUCCUUAAGUUUUUCCUAUGAAAUUAUUUUCCUGAUUAGAUUAUGCUAAGGGUGGGAUACUUUAUGUUAGCAGUGGAAUUAAUUAAUUUUUUUUUGUGUGUAUGCAUCCUUGCCCAUCGAUUGCAGUUUAGAUGUCAGUUCGGUAUUUGUAAGACGUGUUGGUAAUGCCUGUUGAUGAUGUUUCAGAAUUGUAAUCUGUUCGUGAUGAGGAUGGCACAACUCCGAAGCAGAUGUGGGGAGAAGUUGUGAGCUGCCCUGGAAGCCAGUCCAGUAGCUGUUGGAGUUGAGUGGUGUUUGCUGAUGGCCAGCCCAGGGAGCUACUCUUCUCGACAACACUGACUUCGAGGAGUUGCACCAACCUUCACGAGAUAAGAGUUUAAUUAAUUGAAACACUGUAAGGACACUUAAUUUUUUUUGAAGAACGAAAGAAGUAUGGUAAUAAACGGAAACCGAAAAAAAAAAAA
Bacillus rossius redtenbacheri is the source of this 3336-nucleotide long non-coding RNA. RefSeq lists it as uncharacterized. The record is from RefSeq and is a predicted model, not a curated record. Lineage: Eukaryota; Metazoa; Arthropoda; Insecta; Phasmatodea; Bacillidae. The transcript has 2 exons.